Molecule: non-coding RNA, 394 nt
Organism: Salvelinus sp. IW2-2015
Lineage: Eukaryota; Metazoa; Chordata; Actinopteri; Salmoniformes; Salmonidae
Source: RefSeq, a predicted model, not a curated record
UCAGCGCACAGUUAGUCUGAUACGACACACCCAGUAUUUGUCUUGUAGAAUCAUCAUGAUGAAGUACACAGUGAAAGUGUUUACUGGAGAAAUGCUGGUUGCCGGAACAUGAACAGUGUUUACGUUAAACUGGUCAGCACAAACGGAGAAAGUGAACGCACGUACAUCCCUAAAACCGCCAGCCAAGAUCGGUGAUUGAGCACAAUGUGUUCUGUCCCUUCUCCUGGCAUCUGGAGUUUGUGUACUGGAACAGAGCCAUACUGCCUGCUCGGCUACAUCAAAAAUGACUGGUUCUGCUCUAAAGUAGUGGUGACCACACCAGAAGGAGACACGGCCAACUUCCCCGUUACGCUGGAUCUCAGGCUAUGUGCCGCUGAUGAUCAGAGAGGGCACU